UCACCUGUUUAUCAAAAACAUGUCUUAUUGAAAAUUAAUUUUAAGUCAAAUCUGCUCAAUGAUUUAUUUUAAAUAGCUGCAGUAUAUAUAACUGUACAAAGGUAGCAUAAUAAUUAGUUUUUUAAUUGAAAACUAGAAUGAAUGAUUUAAUGAAAUAUAAACUUUAUUAAAAUUUAAAAAUAAAUUUUUUAUUUAAAUAAAAAAAAUUAAAUAUAAUUUAAAGACGAGAAGACCCUAAAGAAUUUUUAUUAAUAAAUUUUAAAUUUAAAAUUUAAUUAAUUUUAAUUGGGGAAAUUUUAAAAUUUAAAUAAUUUUUUUUUAAAUUAAUUAACAUUUAUUUUUGAAUAAAUUUUUAUUUUUUAAAAAAAAAAAUUAAAUUACCUUAGGGAUAACAGCAUAAUUUUUUUAUAAAGUUCAAAUUUAUAAUAAAGUUUAUGACCUCG
RNAcentral lists this ribosomal RNA (443 nucleotides) under Parapanteles sp. 1 SY-2020. Its description in RNAcentral is "partial large subunit ribosomal RNA". The record is from RNAcentral. Lineage: Eukaryota; Metazoa; Arthropoda; Insecta; Hymenoptera; Braconidae.